UGGUCAAGUUAUUAAGGGUGCAGGGCGGAUGCCUUGGCACUAGGAGCCGAUGAAGGACGUGAUAAGCUGCGAUAAGCUUCGGGGAGUUGCACGUAAACUUUGAUCCGAAGAUUUCCGAAUGAGGAAACUCACUUAGAGUAAUGUCUAAGUAUCAUUAAGUGAAUACAUAGCUUAAUGAGGGGAACUCAGGGAACUGAAACAUCUAAGUACCUGAAGGAAGAGAAAGAAAUUCGAUUCCGUAAGUAGCGGCGAGCGAACGCGGAUUAGCCCAAACCAAUAAAGUUUUCUUUAUUGGGGUUGCGGACAUAUCAUAACGAAGAGGUAUCGUAAUUGAAGAGGUUUGGAAAGACCCACCACAGAAGGUAAUAGUCCUGUAUGUUAAACGAGAAGACUUUAGAUAUGAUCCAGAGUACCACGGGACACGUGAAACCCUGUGGGAAGCAGGAGGGACCACCCUCCAAGGCUAAAUACUACCUAGUGACCGAUAGCGUAUAGUACCGUGAGGGAAAGGUGAAAAGAACCCCGGGAGGGGAGUGAAAUAGAACCUGAAACCCUGCACUUACAAGCUGUGGAAGCACAUUUCUGGUGUGACCGCGUACUUUUUGUAGAACGGGCCAACGAGUUACGUUAAGUAGCAAGGUUAAGCACUUAAGGUG
Molecule: ribosomal RNA, 656 nt
Filed under: Clostridioides difficile
Lineage: Bacteria; Bacillati; Bacillota; Clostridia; Peptostreptococcales; Peptostreptococcaceae
Description: bacterial LSU rRNA
Rfam family: Bacterial large subunit ribosomal RNA
Source: RNAcentral